RNAcentral lists this ribosomal RNA (489 nucleotides) under Triticum aestivum (bread wheat). RNAcentral describes it as "partial small subunit ribosomal RNA". The record is from RNAcentral. Lineage: Eukaryota; Viridiplantae; Streptophyta; Magnoliopsida; Poales; Poaceae.
AUGGAACCUGAUGCUAAACCAGUUGUUAACCACCAACGUCGGUUAAAUCCGAAGAUGAAAGAGGUGGUAAGAACGGAAAUAUUAAAACUUCUAGAAGCAGGUAUAAUCUAUCCCAUAGCUGAUAGUAGAUGGGUAAGUCCUGUUCAUUGUGUCCCUAAGAAAGGAGGUAUAGCUGUUGUUCCUAAUGAUAAGAAUGAACUUAUCCCACAAAGAAUUGUCACAGGCUAUAGAAUGGUAAUUGAUUUUAGAAAAGUAAACAAAGCAACUAGAAAAGAUCAUUGCCUUUGCCUUUUAUUGAUCAAAUGCUUGAAAGAUUAUCUAAGCACACACACUUUUGCUUCCUUGAUGGAUAUUCUGGCUUUUCACAAAUACCUGUUUCUCAACCUAAUUAAGAAAAGACCACUUUUACUUGUCCUUUUGGAACCUAUGCUUAUAGACGUAUGCCUUUUGGUUUAUGUAAUGCACCUGCUACCUUUCAAAGAUGUAUGA